Molecule: long non-coding RNA, 224 nt
Filed under: Solanum tuberosum (potato)
Lineage: Eukaryota; Viridiplantae; Streptophyta; Magnoliopsida; Solanales; Solanaceae
Description: long non-coding RNA (STUB_LNC005088)
Source: RNAcentral
UGAGUUUAAUUAAAAGGUCUUCUUUCUUCUUUGAUAAUUAAGUAAUUUUGGGGAAAAUGUACAUCACUUGGCAAGCCGGCAUCCUAAACUAUAUAAUUUAUUGAUUGAAUACCACCAACUUUUUUCCACAAGAAAAAUCAAGAUUAGGAGCAACGACACUUAUAACACGAAGGUGAACAACACUGUUUGAGCAUGAAAUACUAUUUUAUUAUACUUGUAAUGUA